UAGGCAAUUUAAGUAAAUAUCUUAGCAGGUACAGAAUUUAAUCUCAGGCAAACAAUUGCGCAUAUGGGGGGAUCGUGAAGAUUUUACCCGUGAGUAUGUAGACUCGGAAUGGCAAAGAUAAAACUUGAAUGAUCAGACAUAGAAUGAUAAGGUUGUAUGUCAAAAGGGAAACAGCCCAGAACAAGAGUUAAGGUUCCUAAAUUAUUAGUUAAGUGAAAUGAAGAAUGUAUUUAUUAAAGUCGACAAGGAGAUAGGCUUAGAAGCAGCCACAAUUUAAUGAACUCGUAACAGAGCACUUGUUAAUUUAUAAGUAGCGUCGAUAAUUUAACGGAUCUAAACAAUAUACCGAAACCUUGUCCAUACCAAGUUAUAAAAAUUAUAAUAGUAUGGGGUAGCAGAACGUUGAAUUAAACAUUGACUUUUAUUUUUCAAAUAAAAUUAUUAGUUAAUUCAAGUGAUAAUGGUGACAUGAGUAACUAAAAGAAAUAAAAUUUUCCGCCUAAAGCUUAUGGCUAGAAACACACUUAAGUACGGCCUCUAAGUUUUGAAUCUAAAGAUUAAAACGAUGAGAAAAACUUAUUUAUUUAUAACAACAUUUUAAGUGGAAAAUGUGCUGGAAAAAUAAAUAUAUUAACAUAACCGUACCUAGAGCCUGACACAAGUAAGCAAGUAGAGAAUACGAAGGCGAGAGAGCUAACAAUCAUAAAGGAACUCGGCAAAUUGACUACUGUAACUUCGGGAUAAGGAGAGCUCAUACUU
RNAcentral lists this ribosomal RNA (759 nucleotides) under Emericellopsis sp. 1a5. Its description in RNAcentral is "LSU rRNA". It matches the Rfam family "Bacterial large subunit ribosomal RNA", at positions 875 to 1759 of the family's 2925-position model. Lineage: Eukaryota; Fungi; Ascomycota; Sordariomycetes; Hypocreales; Bionectriaceae. The record is from RNAcentral.